UUUGACCUCGGAUCAGGUAGGGAUACCCGCUGAACUUAAGCAUAUCAAUAAGCGAAGGAAA
Molecule: ribosomal RNA, 61 nt
Filed under: Parastagonospora nodorum
Lineage: Eukaryota; Fungi; Ascomycota; Dothideomycetes; Pleosporales; Phaeosphaeriaceae
Description: partial 28S ribosomal RNA
Rfam family: Eukaryotic large subunit ribosomal RNA
Source: RNAcentral